UACAGAGACCUCAAGCGUUAUCCGGAAUCAUUGGGCGUAAAGCGUGCCGAUAGGUGGUUUUAUUAGUCUUUGGUAAAAGCCAGAAGCUCAACUUCUGAGUUUGCUUAAGAUACUGUAAAACUAGAGGGGCAAAGAGGUGCUUGGAACGAAUGGUGUAGUAGUGAAAUGCGUUGAUAUCAUUCGGAACACCGAAAGCGAAGGCAGAGCACUGGGUGCCACCUGACACUGCUAGGACGAAAGCGUGGGGAGCGAAUGGG
Molecule: ribosomal RNA, 257 nt
Filed under: uncultured bacterium
Lineage: Bacteria
Description: partial 16S ribosomal RNA
Rfam family: Bacterial small subunit ribosomal RNA
Source: RNAcentral